This 503-nucleotide ribosomal RNA is filed under the name uncultured bacterium. Its description in RNAcentral is "partial 16S ribosomal RNA". It matches the Rfam family "Bacterial small subunit ribosomal RNA", at positions 30 to 523 of the family's 1533-position model. The record is from RNAcentral.
AUUGAACGCUGGCGGCAGGCUUAACACAUGCAAGUCGAGCGGGGUGAUGGUGCUUGCACUAUCACUUAGCGGCGGACGGGUGAGUAAUGCUUAGGAAUCUGCCUCUUAGUGGGGGACACCAUCUCGAAAGGGAUGCUAAUACCGCAUACGUCCUACGGGAGAAAGCAGGGGAUCAAUUGUGACCUUGAGCUAAUAGAUGAGCCUAAGUCGGAUUAGCUAGUCGGUGGGGUAAAGGCCUACCAAGGCGACGAUGUGUAGCGGGUCUGAGAGGAUGAUCCGCCACACUGGGACUGAGACACGGCCCAGACUCCUACGGGAGGCAGCAGUGGGGAAUAUUGGACAAUGGGGGGAACCCUGAUCCAGCCAUGCCGCGUGUGUGAAGAAGGCCUUAUGGUUGUAAAGCACUUUAAGCGAGGAGGAGGCUCUUUUGGUUAAUACCCAAGAUGAGUGGACGUUACUCGCAGAAUAAGCACCGGCUAACUCUGUGCCAGCCGCCGCAGUAA